This 461-nucleotide long non-coding RNA is filed under the name Homo sapiens (human). RNAcentral describes it as "non-protein coding lnc-LRCH1-3:1". The record is from RNAcentral. Lineage: Eukaryota; Metazoa; Chordata; Mammalia; Primates; Hominidae.
UUUAGACAGGAGAAAUGUAAUACAAAAGACUGGUAAACUUUGAUAAAACAGUAACUCUAAAAUACAAGAAAACUCUAUAUGGUACUCUGGAGCUGAGGGAGAGUAUUCAAUGAAGAAAAAAUUUAGAAGGGGUAUUUUCUCCACAAGACUAGAGUAGUUGAAAAAGGUGCAGUGGCAACCCACUCAACAGCACCGCGUUUCACUGCUUUGCUCAGGUCAGAGCUAUUCGGCAACUGCUGGACGAUAACAAUGGCAGAAAGCAAUUCUCCACGGCAUAGGUUCCACACAGUUGAAUCUCUUUCAGUGGAUCUAGCUACUUAAACUCUGGUGCUUAAUGUCUUCACUUAUACCGUGAGAAUUAAUACCCACUUCCUGAAGUUAUCCUGUCAGUUGUUUGCUGAUUUUACGGAACAGGCUUUGGAGGGUACCUCAGUUCAGAUGUGUCAUCUUCCCCGAGAAAG